RNAcentral lists this long non-coding RNA (906 nucleotides) under Populus trichocarpa (black cottonwood). Its description in RNAcentral is "long non-coding RNA (PTRI_LNC002244)". Lineage: Eukaryota; Viridiplantae; Streptophyta; Magnoliopsida; Malpighiales; Salicaceae. The record is from RNAcentral.
GAGGAAAAAAACCCAUCAAACUGAGAACUGCCAAUGGUAAUCAACGGACUAAUUAUAGACUAAUAAAUUAUAUUGGAUAAAACACAAGAACAAAGCUAUAAUUAACACAAGAACAAAGCUAUAAUUAACUCAAGAACAUUUUAUUACAGGCCUCAAGUGUGAUUAUUCUAUCAUAUUUGGCAGCAUACACUACUAGCACAAACUCGUGUGCAUCCGAAAUUUAGCUAGGUGUAGCUAGGAGAUGUGCAAUAAAGCAUUGGAUCAUCUCAUUCUUCCAAUAAAUUCAUCAUUGGAACAUACACAUAAGUAACAAACGUACAUCAUAUCUCUCCAAGAUUCAUCAUGGACAUAUAUUUAUGCCUGUCCUUCCUGAUCCAUAGCUUAUCAAUAAUAAGCAUACAAACCAUGUUUAAACUUGCUUAGAUGCAUAUAUAUAGCUGCAAUUAACUAUAUCUUAAAACAUCUUCUUCACCAGUUGCACCGCGUACGCAAUCAACGCUUCCCGUGCAACUUAGAGCAUGAGAUAAGAGGCAGAUUGUUGACAUAUCUGCUUGGAGCCGAUGAAUGCCUAUAACCUUUCGGCAAGCAACCUUUGACAUCAGGCUCAGUACCGAAAAAGGGUCGCCUAUGAUUGAAAAGAGGCCUCCUUUCCACAUAAUCUUCACCCUGCGAAUCCAAAGGAGGCAUCAUGGUGCUUGGAACACUAGAGGGGAUGGCACGGCCAGCCAUAGUGAUGCCUAGAGAAUUAGAUGACAACAGGAAAUAGGUGAACAAAAGGUAAAACAUGGUAGUGCUAGUAGUCCUCAUGAUUUUUAAGGUUUUAUUUGUGGACUUGGUGGAGAGGUUUACAAGGGGUUUUAUGGGAGACAGAAGUGAAGAGUGGGAAGGGCCCUAAAUAGGCUCGUG